RNAcentral lists this ribosomal RNA (482 nucleotides) under uncultured bacterium. RNAcentral's name for it is "partial 16S ribosomal RNA". It matches the Rfam family "Bacterial small subunit ribosomal RNA", at positions 30 to 507 of the family's 1533-position model. The record is from RNAcentral.
AUUGAACGCUGGCGGCAUGCUUUACACAUGCCAGUCGAACGGUAACAGGCCGCAAGGUGCUGACGAGUGGCGAACGGGUGAGUAAUGCAUCGGAACGUGCCCAGUCGUGGGGGAUAACUACUCGAAAGAGUAGCUAAUACCGCAUACGAUCUAUGGAUGAAAGCGGGGGACCGUAAGGCCUCGCGCGAUUGGAGCGGCCGAUGUCAGAUUAGGUAGUUGGUGGGGUAAAGGUUCACCAAGCCAACGAUCUGUAGCUGGUCUGAGAGGACGACCAGCCACACUGGGACUGAGACACGGCCCAGACUCCUACGGGAGGCAGCAGUGGGGAAUUUUGGACAAUGGGCGCAAGCCUGAUCCAGCAAUGCCGCGUGCAGGAAGAAGGCCUUCGGGUUGUAAACUGCUUUUGUACGGAACGAAACGGCUCUGGUUAAUACCCGGGGCUAAUGACGGUACCGUAAGAAUAAGCACCGGCUAACUACGUG